UCGUAGUAAGUGCAUCUCUUGAGGUCGUUUGAUAGCUUCCUUGCUCUGGCAUCAUCUAUGACGCGUGGGUUACUGGAACUUAUAGCAUCCUGCGUUCCCACCAGUACCAUUGGAAUUUCACUAGUGUUACGAUAGUUAGCCAUACGGCUGUAGUAGUGGUAAACAGUCUGGAAGCUAACUUCAUCUUCCAAGCUGAAGACAAAUAUAACAGCAUCCACCCACAUGGCAAACUGUGCCUCUGGAGGGCCACCUUCAUCUCUAAUCAGCAGCAGGUAGCUCUGUC
This 283-nucleotide long non-coding RNA is filed under the name Gallus gallus (chicken). Lineage: Eukaryota; Metazoa; Chordata; Aves; Galliformes; Phasianidae. The record is from RNAcentral.